RNAcentral lists this ribosomal RNA (509 nucleotides) under uncultured bacterium. RNAcentral's name for it is "bacterial SSU rRNA". It matches the Rfam family "Bacterial small subunit ribosomal RNA", at positions 37 to 518 of the family's 1533-position model. The record is from RNAcentral.
UGGCGGCGUGCCUAAUACAUGCAAGUCGAACGGUCUUUCUAUGGAAGCUUGCUCCACUGAGAAGAUAGUGGCGAACGGGUGAGUAACACGUGGGUAACCUGCCCAUAAGAGGGGGGAUAACAUCCGGAAACGGGUGCUAAUACCGCAUAGUUUUCUUGAUCGCAUGAUCGGGAAAGGAAAGACGGCCUUUGUGCUGUCGCUUAUGGAUGGACCCGCGGCGUAUUAGUUAGUUGGUGAGGUAACGGCUCACCAAGACGAUGAUACGUAGCCGACCUGAGAGGGUGAUCGGCCACAUUGGGACUGAGACACGGCCCAAACUCCUACGGGAGGCAGCAGUAGGGAAUCUUCCGCAAUGGACGAAAGUCUGACGGAGCAACGCCGCGUGAGUGAAAGAAGGUUUUUCGGAUCGUAAAACUCUGUUGUCAGAGAAGAACAAGUUGGAGAGUAACUGCUCCAGCCUUGACGGUAUCUGACCAGAAAGCCACGGCUAACUACGUGCCAGCCGCCGC